GGGCGGUUAGCUCAGCUGGGAGAGCGGCAGGAUCACAACCUGUAGGCCGGGGGUUCGAACCCCUCACCGCCCA
Molecule: transfer RNA, 73 nt
Filed under: SAR324 cluster bacterium
Lineage: Bacteria; Deltaproteobacteria
Also listed under: 1 other name
Description: tRNA-Val
Rfam family: tRNA
About the family: Transfer RNA (tRNA) molecules are approximately 80 nucleotides in length. Their secondary structure includes four short double-helical elements and three loops (D, anti-codon, and T loops).
Source: RNAcentral